RNAcentral lists this unclassified non-coding RNA (284 nucleotides) under uncultured Marasmius. RNAcentral describes it as "sequence contains ITS2". The record is from RNAcentral. Lineage: Eukaryota; Fungi; Basidiomycota; Agaricomycetes; Agaricales; Tricholomataceae.
AAUUCUCAACCUCAAAAGCUCUUUUGUUUCUGAGGUUUGGAUAUGGAGGCUUUUGCUGGCUUGUUCAGCUCCUCUUAAAUGCAUUAGUGGAAACUUGUUUUGUAGUCCGCAAUUGGUGUGAUAAUUAUCUGCGCCAUUGUAUUUGUUGGCUACAGCUCUUUGGUAGUGUUCGUUUUGGAAAGCUGCAUGAAUGUGCUCUUUCUGUUCUAAUUUGACCUGCUGAGAGUUUGAAUAGGUAUCUGCUUCAAACCGUCCUAAGUUAAUUGGACAAGCUCACUUGAUUA